RNAcentral lists this ribosomal RNA (253 nucleotides) under uncultured bacterium. RNAcentral describes it as "partial 16S ribosomal RNA". It matches the Rfam family "Bacterial small subunit ribosomal RNA", at positions 524 to 776 of the family's 1533-position model. The record is from RNAcentral.
UACAGAGGGGGCAAGCGUUGUUCGGAAUUACUGGGCGUAAAGGGCGCGUAGGCGGCGCGGUAAGUCGGGUGUGAAAUCUCGGAGCUUAACUCCGAAACUGCAUUCGAUACUGCCGUGCUUGAGGACUGGAGAGGAGACUGGAAUUUACGGUGUAGCGGUGAAAUGCGUAGAUAUCGUAAGGAAGACCAGUGGCGAAGGCGGGUCUCUGGACAGUUCCUGACACUGAGACACGAAGGCCAGGGGAGCAAACGGG